Cajanus cajan (pigeon pea) is the source of this 677-nucleotide long non-coding RNA. RefSeq lists it as uncharacterized. The record is from RefSeq and is a predicted model, not a curated record. Lineage: Eukaryota; Viridiplantae; Streptophyta; Magnoliopsida; Fabales; Fabaceae.
AACUUAAGAAGCUAAAAAAAAAAAGAGAGAGAGAGAAGCGUGGAUGAAUCUCCUCUUCUGUCCCAAUCUCUCUGGACCCUUUUCUCAGGGUUCGACCAUGGUUUGGGAGAAGAGGCAGCAGCGCAGGAUUCUUGUCUGAAUUCUUAUAGUGUUUUCAUCGUACGCAAUUUGUUGGAUAUAACUUCUUAUUUGAUUGCAGAACUAUAGCACGCCCAAAUUUGGCUGUGUCAACCAGUGUUUGAGGAGAAAAGUUGUCAUUGUUGACUGCAUUUGUGGUUUUCCUUGCGUCUUCAGGCAUGGGUGGAGUAAAGACCAAGAAAUUCAAGAAGAUCUCAUUCAAAGGGUCAAUCAAGCAAGUGAAACAAUGGUUACAAUGGAGGAAAGCCAAGGGCAGAUUACAGGGCAGUGACGAUUUUGUCACGCCUGUGAUCUUUGCUGCCAAAGGAAGAAUUGAGAAAACAGAUUCUGCCACAGCCAUGAUGAUUGCAUGACAGGUCUGAUCCUUGCUGCAACAGGAAAAUAUGAUUGAAAGACUCGUUGUAAACAUAUUGUAAGAAACUUUUGAUUGAUAUCAAAAUCAGAUUAAACAUUUGUUUUCGAGAUAGCUCGAGUGCUUCUCAAUGCACCUUUCCUCAUUUUUUUCAAAGCAACGUAGGUCUUAUGUCUUUUUUUAAUUA